This is a long non-coding RNA of Vombatus ursinus (common wombat), 557 nucleotides long. RefSeq lists it as uncharacterized. The transcript has 3 exons. The record is from RefSeq and is a predicted model, not a curated record. Lineage: Eukaryota; Metazoa; Chordata; Mammalia; Diprotodontia; Vombatidae.
ACGAAGGCAGCAAUGUUCUAGAAAUAAACGUUUAGACAUGCUUGUUUGAUCCAAGAAAGACUUUUAUUUAUACUUCAAGGGGAGGGGUUAUUCACUGAUGUUUUGGAAACUCUGGAAAGCAGCUGAUACGCAAAGAAAAUAGAGCUUUUCUGCUAUCACUGUGCAGCUCUCGAAUAUCAAGGAAGCAAAAGUAUCCGGAAACAUGAUCGUCAAACUGUUAGGAGCAUGAAUACCACAGAAAACACCUGCCAAGGUGGUAUUCCUAAAACCCAGAUCUAACUGCGUUCUUCUUCUGCUUAAGAAACUUCAGUGGCUCCCUAUUACCUGUAGGAUUCAACUCAUGGUAAUCAGAGGACCUGGGUCAUAAUUCUAAUUCUACUCCUUACCAUUAGUGGGACCACUUCUCUAUGUUUCUAUUUCCUCACCUGUAAAAUGAGGUUUUUGGACUAGAAUCAUAGGUUUCCAAAGUGAGUGAUACCACCCCUUGGAACAAUCCAGUGGGCCAGUAGUAGCCUGGGGUGUAAUUGGGGGAGCAUUGAAUAAAAAUAAGGGGCAGU